AUGCCUCUACCAUGCUACUUGGUUGAUAGCC
RNAcentral lists this non-coding RNA (31 nucleotides) under Rattus norvegicus (Norway rat). The record is from RNAcentral. Lineage: Eukaryota; Metazoa; Chordata; Mammalia; Rodentia; Muridae.